Triticum aestivum (bread wheat) is the source of this 524-nucleotide long non-coding RNA. RefSeq lists it as uncharacterized. The transcript is spliced from 3 exons. Lineage: Eukaryota; Viridiplantae; Streptophyta; Magnoliopsida; Poales; Poaceae. The record is from RefSeq and is a predicted model, not a curated record.
UGGCUCUUCUUCCUCCUUGUGACCUUGGCGUUACCUCAUGUUGGGAAUGGAAGCACCAACUGCGAUGCAGUCUUGAUUGCAUCGCUAGUCCAGGAACAAUGCGAUGGCGAGCCAGUGACAGGCUCAUGCUGUGAGGUGCUCAGGACAAUCAUUACACCCUCGAGGGGCAAACUGCCAUGUCUCAAAAUGGUUCUUGACCAGCCUGAGGUUAAGUAUUCGGGAUUCACCAGAGGGCUCCUGCUGGACAUGGCCAAGUCAUGCACUGCAUCAAGGGCCCCUCCCCCAGCUGACGUAACAGCAGGUUCUGUUGGCCCCAAGGACAGGGUUGUGGAUGUGCAUGAUCCAGCAGAUUCUCCCCGCCCCAAAGACAGGGACGUGGACAUGGACGCACACAGGAGCUAAGCAUGAGGAAAGCCAAGGGGGUGCCGAUGUGCCUAGGGACAAGGGUUAUGUAACAAGAAUACUAGGCCCAUAAGGGUUUCUUUUUUCGGAAUUUUUAAGUUUCUUUUUCACAGUUUCAUGAU